UUUUUUUAUUGUGACCCUUUUUUUUUUAUUUAUUGUGACCUUUUCUUUCUUGUUUAAAUUUCCUGAUAUACUGUCUUCUACGUCUCCUUAGGUCACCUGCUUAAGGAAUAGACUAAAAUGGUUGCCAGAGUAUUUACUCCAUUCUAUUUUCAGUGAGAAUGAGGACUAGGCCUUCUUCUCUAUAUCUCUCCCUAAAUAAUUUCAUUUGGCCCCAUGAUCUUAAGUAUCAUCUAUCAUUGUAUGGAUCUCAAAUCUAUAACUAUAUCCCAGAUCUUUUUCACUUCCAGGCUUAUAUAUCCAAGGCCUCUGACCUUCUUCAUUUAUAUAGCUAGUAGUUACUUAAAACUCAAAAUGUUUGAAAAAAUAUUUAAAACAUCAAAAUCACAACAAGAUACCAACUCACACCAAUCAGAGUGGCUAAAAUUAACAAGUCAGGAAAUAACAAAUGUUGGUGAGGAUGCAGAAAAAGGGGAACUCUCAUAUGCUGCUGGUAGGAAUGCAAGGUGGUACAGCCACUCUGGAAAACAGCAUGGAGAUUCCUCGAAAAGUUGAAAAUAGAGCUACUCUAGGACACAGCAAUUGCACCACUAGGGAUUUAGCCAAAAGAUACAAAUGUAAUGAUCUGAAGGGGCACCUGUACCCCAGUGUUUAUAGCAACAAUGUCCACAAUAGUCAAACAUGGAAAGAGCGUAGAUGUCCAUCAACAGAUGAAUGGAUAAAGAAGAUGUUGUCUAUAUAUACAGUGGAAUACUAUUCAGCCAUCAAAAAUGAAAUCUUACCAUAUACAAUGAUGUGGAUGGAACUAGAGGGUAUUUUUUUAAGAUUUUAUUUUUAUUUAUUUAUUCAUGAGAGACAGAGAGAUAGAUAGAGAUAGAGAUAGAGAUAGAGAUAGAGAUAGAGAGAGAGAGAGAGAAGAGAGAAAGAGGAAGAAGCGGCUCCAUGCGGGGAGCCCGAGGCGGGACUCAAUUCCAGGUCUCCAGGAUCAGACCCUGGCCUGAAGGCGAUGCUAAAUCACUGAGCCACCCUGGCUAGAGGGUAUUAUGCUAAGCAAAAUAAGUCAAUCAGAGAAAGACAAUUAUCAUAUGACCUCAUUCAUAUGUGGAAUUUAAGAAACAAAACAGAAGAGCAUAGAUAAAGGGAUGGAAAAAUAAAAUAAGAUGAAAUCAGAGAAGGACACAAACCAUAAGAGACUCUUAACCAUAGGAAACAAACUGAGGGUCACUGGAGGGGAGGUAGGUGAGGGGAUGGGGUAACUGGAUGAGGGCAUUAAGGAGGACACAUGAUGUGAUGAGCAUCGAGUGUUAUAUUCAACUGAUGAAUCACUGACCUCUACCUCUGAAGCUAAUAAUAAACUAUAUUAAUUAAACUUAAAUAAAAUAAAAAAGAAAAAGUGUUCGAAAUAGAGCUUUGACUCCCUCAUAUAAGAUUAUUGUUCCUUCAGUCCCUCCUGAUAGGUAACAUUGCCCAUUCCCUAGGUUGUUCAAGCUAAAAACCACACAGUAACUAUAGUUAUUAUCUUCCCUUCCUCUACCUUCUCUUGCUCCAUAUUUGGUCUGAUGUCAAGUCCUAUUGUCUCUGAAACAAAUUCCAAGUGCAUUCACUUCUCUUUAUCUUCCAUAGCCACUACUCUAGCCCACACUGUCUUCAUCUCUUACCUGUGUUAUUUCAAGAACUUUCUAACUUGUUUCCCUAUUCCCACUCUUGCUCUCCUUUCAUCCACUAUGUCCCCAGUAGCUCAUUUGUUUAUGUUAUUAUAAUGUGGCUAAUAUUUUUAAAACAUAGUUUAUAUCUUAUCACUGUUUUACAUAAAAUCCUUCUAUGGCUUUUCUAUUGACCCUUAAAAUCUAAACUCUACAGCAUGAUUUGAAGACCAACAUGAGCUGCCAUCUGUGAACUACCUACUGUGGUCCACUCUUCCUGUUGCUCACUUAUGGUCCAAAUACACUGGCCUCCUUUCCUUCCAUUAACUCAUUCAGCAUAUGACUGAACAGCUCCCAAGGCCACUCUUUUUCAGCAGUGAACUAAAAAUGUCCCUGUUCACAGGAGUUUACAUUUUAGGGAACAGACAGUAUUUACUCUGGCAUGGAAGGAUGGCAUAACUGUUAUAAAUUAACCGUAAAACAAAAAAAUAAAAUAACAAGUGAUUGAGGCUACUAUAAUUAGGUGGAGUGGUACAGAGCAGAGAACUGAAGAAAGAAAAGGUAUGAGUCAAGAGAACUCUUAUAGACUACUAAUCAAGGCAUAGGAAACAGAAAAGGUGAACAUUUUGAAAUGAGAACGUGCUUGUAUUUUGAAGAACAACAAAAAAGUUCAGUGCAGCUGGAAUAGAGUGAAUGAUAGAGAGAGGUAUCAAUGUUCCAUGUCAUGUUUUUCUUUGUAAGGACUUGAGCUUUCAUAGUAAGUGAGGUAAAGAGCCUCUAAAAGAUGUUGCACAGAGGAGCAUCUGACUCAAUCUGAUCCCUGGGAGAUGAGUAAGUUCAGAUAAGAACUUCAGUUCAAGUGAGAAAUUGUGAUGACUUGGAUGAGAGAGGAAGAAGUAGAUGUGGAGAGAAAUAACAGAUUUGAAAAUAUGUUCUGAAAGUAGUACUGACAUAAUUUACUAAUGGGUUGGAUAUGGAAUGUGGGAAAAAGAGAGAGGAGUCAAGAAUGAUUACAAGUUAUUACACUGGCCAACUAGAUGAAUGAGUGGUGAUAAGCUAUGGAGUCCACAGAGUCCUAGGUCCUAAUAUUAGUCCAUAAACAAAUAACGUAUUCAACAAAUAGUUAUUGAGUGCCUAUUGUAUAUGCCAAGUAUAGUGCUGGGCAUUGAGUGUACUAAGGUGACCUAAAUUCUGAUCCUACCCCUAAAGUAUUCACAAUAGAACAUGAGACACAUGCACACAAUGAAUGUAAAGCUUCCAUACAUUCAUCAACUGAACAGGAUUCAAAGGACACACAGUAGUAAAUACUCCAAACUCAGGUAGAAAUCCUGGAGUUAUUUCCAACCUUUCUCAUCAAAUCUUUCUGUGUACUGUGGCAGUUUGCAAUUUCAUCUCUUUUAAUUUUCUAUUAUAGCUACAAAUCAGAAAUAUCAUUAUUUGGUGACCACGUAAAUGGUAUAUCAUUUCUCAUUUAAACAUAAUUUACCACUCCAAUGUGAGUUCAGUGUGUUUAUCAGGAAGAGGAAACUGCAGGCUAAGAAUACAUUGAUCUAAAUAUCUAACUCAGUUGCUAACAGGAACACAAAUAGAUUCAUAAGUAAUGAGAUGAUUGACCUUACGUCACUAACAGUAAAUACUUUCAACUAGAGAUUUCCCUGUAAUUGUUGUAAUUAAGGAUACCUUUCCGGAUCUAUACUUUUUGGGUGUGUGGAAGUCACAAAUGUGCCAUGAACCCAGAUCAAUGGCCAUUUGCCAAGCUCCAUCAACACACCCUUUCUGGGCUUCUUGUUCCAAUCACAGCAGAUAUGGCCAAAUUCUAAAAAAAGGGAACAUUCUGUGGUUUUGAAAUAUGAGUGGAUAUAAAAGACAGCAGGUGGCUAAAAUUGGAUGGAAUGUUCAAAUUUUAAUUAAACUAUCAAUGCAAUUGCUAAUGAUAGGAAUAUCAACAGUUUGUUCAAGGAAUAAAGACUAAAGCCAGUGAGAAAGUAGAAUAAAUUAACAGAUAUUCGAGACUAUGUUAGAUAACUCACUUAGAGUCUUAAAAACUUAAACAUAACUCAGUCAUCUUCCUCUUGUGUGAUUCUUUCCCCUUCUCUUAGGUAUGGUUACAUGCCCCUUUGGGAUGCUCUCACAACUCUCUGCACAUAGCUCCAUUUUAUAGUCUCCUCUUGACAAUGGAUAUUGCAUGAAUGGAAGAGCAGUCCUGAGUCUUCAUGGAAACUUAAUACUUGGAGGCUGUAAGCCAAUUUCAAGGUUCUCAGAUAAUCCUUUCAGCUAAGUGAUUAUUAAAAAGAUAGAGUAAUAGUAUUUUUUUAGGAGCCUCUGCUGUAUCAGACAUGUUUAGGGCUAUAAAUGCAUUACCAUAUGUAAUCUGCAUAAAGAUUUCCAAGGUAGGUAUUAUCACUUAAAAAAAAUAGAAAACUCAGUAUCAGAAAUGUGAAGACCUUGUCCAAGGUCACAUAGUCAAAAUAUAGAAUCACUAGGAUCCAAACUUAGGCUUACAAGUAUUUAAAAACAUUCAACAUUGGUCUCAAGGUCCUUGAGGCCAGAAAAUAAAUUAGUGUAAAACUUGUCAUUAGGUUUCUCCAGGGGUGGCUAUAUAUAGUCUUAGAAACAGAGUCACUGAUAAAAUACUUCUCUUUAGCCUACACAAGUGUUUCUCAAAUUUGGCAUUGCUGACAUAUGGGGUUGGGUAGUUCUUCAUCGCUGGGGACUUUCCUGUGCAUUGUUGGAUAUUUAGCAUCAUCACUGGCUACUACUUAUUGAAUGCCAGUAGCACCUCCUGAAUUGUAACAGCCUAAAAUAUCUUCAGAUAUUGCUCAAUAUCUCUUGCCCCAUAGAACCACUUGUCCACACACAGAAUAAUUCUGUCUCAUGCUUCUUACAAGGACAGUGUGUGUGUGUGUGUGUGUGUGUGUGUGUGUGUGUGUGUGUAUGAGAGAGACUGAAUUUAUUACAGGACUCCCUCCAGCUUAGCUAUAAUGAACUCCACCUGAAAGUGAAGUGAGAAAAAAAAGAAGGGACUUAAUGAGUUGCUAAAAUGUUCUAAAGUUAAUAUUUAACUCAAAUGGGAUCAGCACUUUCUUGGAACAAAAUGUGUAACUGAAAGACAAAAACAGAAGUCUUUGUAAAGGCGCUUUUCUGCUGCAUGAAUCAGACCCUAGAGUCCCACUCCACUAAACUUUACAGCACACAUUUUCUUAAUGGCAACUAGGGAAACUAGAUACUAAUACUACCCACCC
RNAcentral lists this long non-coding RNA (4882 nucleotides) under Canis lupus familiaris (dog). RNAcentral's name for it is "lncRNA (ENSCAFG00845006326.1)". Lineage: Eukaryota; Metazoa; Chordata; Mammalia; Carnivora; Canidae. The record is from RNAcentral.